UUAUUUCCAUUCAUUUUUUAAAAAAUAUUUUAACUGGUUUUACUAUUUAUUGGAGUUGUGACAAAAAUGAGUUUGACAGCUCUGCUUGGCAGACUUCAUUCUCAAGUGGCCACAAAGAGCACAUGAAGGGUUAACGGAGACCUGAGGGAGGCUUGAUCCCGCAUAUUGUGGUCACAACACCUGAGGUGUGUUCACAUAAUUUAAUACCUUCAAAUGUCAUCACUUUAUUGGCUAUACGGAUGGAUGUGGCAGCCCCACACACGCUCUGACAGCGCCCCCUAUUGACACGACUCCGUCACGGGCUAUUGCUGCUUUACAAGAAUGGGAGUCCAGCUGCUUCUGUUUCUCAUCUGCAACUCGCUCCCUCGAGUCUGCCUCGGGGGUCCGGAAGAAAAGAACAACCCUCGCGAGGCCAAUGAGGAGUGGUUUGUAUGAAUAAGCAUAACAUGAGCAAUGUGGAUUUGCUCCCUGUAUUGCAUCUGCACAUAACAGCAGGCAUUUAUUGGCUGCGUAUGAAAUUCCAACCCUAUCCACUUCAUCUACCAGUUUUUGCCCCUCCGACCGCCACAAUGGGGUUGGGGUGGGGGGACUAGGGUUUGUCUUAGACUCACCUGUCAUUGUCCACGUUGCGGAAGCCUGGCAGAAUAUGCCUGAAGCUGGAGUUGCGGUCCAGUUUGGGUUGACUCUUGGUGCGCUUGAUGGAGCCCUUCAGCCGCCGACUCAAGAAGCCCU
Syngnathus acus (greater pipefish) is the source of this 732-nucleotide long non-coding RNA. RefSeq lists it as uncharacterized. The transcript has 2 exons. The record is from RefSeq and is a predicted model, not a curated record. NCBI's taxonomy places the organism in Eukaryota, Metazoa, Chordata, Actinopteri, Syngnathiformes, Syngnathidae.